Molecule: ribosomal RNA, 274 nt
Filed under: uncultured bacterium
Lineage: Bacteria
Description: partial 16S ribosomal RNA
Rfam family: Bacterial small subunit ribosomal RNA
Source: RNAcentral
AUACAGAGGGUGCGAGCGUUAAUCGGAAUUACUGGGCGUAAAGCGCGCGUAGGCGGCUAAGUAAGUCGGAUGUGAAAGCCCUGGGCUUAACCUGGGAAUUGCAUUCGAUACUGCUUGGCUAGAGUAUGGUAGAGGAUAGUGGAAUUCCUGGUGUAGCGGUGAAAUGCGUAGAUAUCAGGAGGAACAUCAGUGGCGAAGGCGGCUAUCUGGACCAAUACUGACGCUAAGGUGCGAAAGCGUGGGGAGCAAACAGGAUUAGAAACCCUAGUAGUCC